GUGGAGCACCAGCGUGUUGCUCGCUCUGGYUCCAACUCACGUGAGAUGAAAUAUCCAGCAACGGGGUUGGCAAAUACAGCAAUUCAGCAACAGCUGAUGCAGCUUCUUGCUAAUCCAGCCACGCUCACGCCACAACAGAUGCAAAUGAUUCUCACUUCACUCCUGCCACUUCUGACAGGAUAAUACAAUAAAGUUAAAGCUUGCUGUUUCAACCAGAGUGCUUCCUCACUCAGUUUGGUCAAACAACAAUCAUCAUCAUCUUCUGUCUGAUAAAUAAAUACUGAUCAAUGAAAAAA
Austrofundulus limnaeus is the source of this 296-nucleotide long non-coding RNA. RefSeq lists it as uncharacterized. Lineage: Eukaryota; Metazoa; Chordata; Actinopteri; Cyprinodontiformes; Rivulidae. The record is from RefSeq and is a predicted model, not a curated record. The transcript has 3 exons.